This 253-nucleotide ribosomal RNA is filed under the name uncultured bacterium. RNAcentral's name for it is "partial 16S ribosomal RNA". It matches the Rfam family "Bacterial small subunit ribosomal RNA", at positions 524 to 776 of the family's 1533-position model. The record is from RNAcentral.
UACAGAGGAGCCAAGCGUUGUCCGGAUUGACUGGGCGUAAAGCGCACGCAGGCGGAUGCGCGCGUGGGGUGUGAAAUCUGGCCGCUUAACGGCCAGGCGCCAUCCCAUACGGCGCGUCUGGAGUGAUGCAGAGGUCGAUGGAAUUGCCGGUGUAGUGGUGAAAUGCGUAGAGAUCGGCAGGAACACCCAGGGGGAAACCAGUCGACUGGGCAUCUACUGACGCUGAGGCGCGAGAGCGUGGGGAGCGAACCGG